This 253-nucleotide ribosomal RNA is filed under the name uncultured bacterium. RNAcentral's name for it is "partial 16S ribosomal RNA". It matches the Rfam family "Bacterial small subunit ribosomal RNA", at positions 524 to 776 of the family's 1533-position model. The record is from RNAcentral.
UACGUAGGGUGCAAGCGUUGUCCGGAAUUAUUGGGCGUAAAGAGCUCGUAGGCGGCCUGUCGCGUCGGUUGUGAAAGCCCGGGGCUCAACCCCGGGUCUGCAGUCGAUACGGGCAGGCUAGAGUUCGGUAGGGGAGAUCGGAAUUCCUGGUGUAGCGGUGAAAUGCGCAGAUAUCAGGAGGAACACCGGUGGCGAAGGCGGAUCUCUGGGCCGAUACUGACGCUGAGGAGCGAAAGCGUGGGGAGCGAACAGG